GAUUUGGUUCAAAUUUAUUUAACAACUGAUCAUCAAUCUACGAAUUCUCAAUUGAUUCUAGUUUGUUGUUUCAAAGCUACUCCAUGUUAGGUUUUCUGAUUUGAAGUUGUUGUUGUUUCUUUUGAUUUCUGAGAUCAAGAAGAAUCAUCACUGUUUCGGAAGAAUAGCAACAGAAUCAAGGUGAUUUUCAGUUGGGUUGAAGAAUAAUUUAGGAGUAUGUGGAUUCAAUUUUAUAAAUCAGGUAGGAGGACUAGCAGUACCUAAUCACAUGACAUGUUAUUCUGGUCUCGGUGGUGCACUCAGUUUUAUUAUGUACAGUUUUUCCUAACCCUUCAACUGUCUAUGAGCUAAUAGUAGUGGAGAAUACAAAUUUUUUAUCUCCUAUGUUUAGUUAAUACUGGAC
Long non-coding RNA from Papaver somniferum (opium poppy), 403 nucleotides. RefSeq lists it as uncharacterized. The record is from RefSeq and is a predicted model, not a curated record. The transcript is spliced from 3 exons. NCBI's taxonomy places the organism in Eukaryota, Viridiplantae, Streptophyta, Magnoliopsida, Ranunculales, Papaveraceae.